UACGUAGGGAGCAAGCGUUGUCCGGAAUCAUUGGGCGUAAAGCGCGCGUAGGUGGCUUCGUAAGUCCGCUGUGAAAGUCAAAGGCUCAACCUUUGAAAGCCGGUGGAUACUGUGAAGCUAGAGUCCGGAAGAGGCGAGUGGAAUUCCCGGUGUAGCGGUGAAAUGCGCAGAUAUCGGGAAGAACACCCGUGGCGAAGGCGGUUCUCUGGGACGGUACUGACGCUGAGACGCGAAAGCGUGGGGAGCGAACAGG
This 253-nucleotide ribosomal RNA is filed under the name uncultured bacterium. Its description in RNAcentral is "partial 16S ribosomal RNA". It matches the Rfam family "Bacterial small subunit ribosomal RNA", at positions 524 to 776 of the family's 1533-position model. The record is from RNAcentral.